RNAcentral lists this transfer RNA (86 nucleotides) under Ralstonia solanacearum. Its description in RNAcentral is "tRNA-Leu". It matches the Rfam family "tRNA". From Rfam's summary of the family: Transfer RNA (tRNA) molecules are approximately 80 nucleotides in length. Their secondary structure includes four short double-helical elements and three loops (D, anti-codon, and T loops). RNAcentral also lists the same sequence under 4 other names. Lineage: Bacteria; Pseudomonadati; Pseudomonadota; Betaproteobacteria; Burkholderiales; Burkholderiaceae. The record is from RNAcentral.
GCCUGGGUGGCGGAAUCGGUAGACGCAGCAGACUUAAAAUUUGCCAGCCACAAGCUGUACGGGUUCGAGUCCCGUCCCAGGCACCA